This is a long non-coding RNA of Gossypium arboreum, 1258 nucleotides long. RefSeq lists it as uncharacterized. The record is from RefSeq and is a predicted model, not a curated record. The transcript is spliced from 2 exons. NCBI's taxonomy places the organism in Eukaryota, Viridiplantae, Streptophyta, Magnoliopsida, Malvales, Malvaceae.
CCUUUAGAUGUAGACUGUAUUCCAGCCAUCCAGCCAUGAACAAGACUACUAAACCAGCUUACUUUUGCAAGGAUAAUUAAGAAAGAAAAGCUUAUCCCCUACAAGACAGGUAGCCACAGUUAUUGAAGAAUUAUUCACUUUUUAAAUAUUUUCUUCUAAGUAAGCACAACGACAUUAAGAAAUUUACUUUUUAGAGUCUAUAUAAGGAAAAGGGCCUUAGGAUUUGCUACAGCCACACUCACUUCAGCAACAAUCACUUCAAAUUUUCAAGCAGCAGCAGCAGCCAGCGAAAUCUAAGAAAGGUCCCGUAAUCGAAAAAAGAUGGAUGAGAAAUUUCUAAAAUCAUUAGAUACAAGAAAAUAUGAUCUCAAAUCCUGUGAAUUACCCAUCUCAAGUUACAGAGACUUGGGCGCCGGCUAUGGUGAAUUCAUCCCCUACAUUUUAGCAGGCACAGGUGGAUUUCAAGAACACAAACAAUUAAAUUGGCUAAAUUUAUUCAUAUCCACCAAAUUAUUAGAAUUUUCAAAUAGAUUCAAAAAAUUAGGAGAAACAUUGGAUGAAAGCACGAGGGAAAUCACAAACAGGAUCAAAUUGAAAGAAAAGCAAAAUGACAUGGAAGGGAUAAAACAGGAGAUGGCUAAAUUGCCUGAAAAUUUAGCACGUAUGUUAAGCGACAUUGAUGAUAAAACACAUAGGAUAGAGCAUAUGGAGUGCAGCAUGGAAGAGAACAUGUAUAAGAUCAAUAAGGGUCAAAUUAAAAUUAUGGAAGAAUUGAGGGACUUGAAAAGGGAAAUAAAAGAGUUAAAGGAGGAUGUGAAAGAAGUUAAAAUAAAAAUUAGUGCGAAAGAAAGCUAAGGGUAUGUUUUGCACGUCGUGGAUGUAAUAACGAAGCUCGUUUGUCAUCGGUGUUGUGUGGAAGAAUCGAAGAUGGAGUGAACGAGUGUUUAGGAUUUUAAAGUUUAAUUUCAAAGGAUUAUUGUAUGUAGGUAUGUGAGUGUGUUUCUAAUAUAAGGAAUGGUGUAAAAUAAAUUACAGUUUAGGGUGUUGUUAUAUAAGGAAGGAAAGCGUCUUUUAAGAUUGUUAGAGGCACCUAUCUAAGUGUUGUGUGAGUGUGUGUGUUUUUUUUAGUGUAUGUAUUAUGGACCUGUUGCUGUGGUAUAAGUUUAGCUCCUUUGCGUGUGUCUUGUGAUGUUGUGUAUGUUUUAGUAGAGCUCUUGGCUCCUAUAUUUCAAUGAUAAUAAAAUAUAUUUUAAGUACA